Triticum aestivum (bread wheat) is the source of this 417-nucleotide long non-coding RNA. RefSeq lists it as uncharacterized. NCBI's taxonomy places the organism in Eukaryota, Viridiplantae, Streptophyta, Magnoliopsida, Poales, Poaceae. The record is from RefSeq and is a predicted model, not a curated record. The transcript is spliced from 2 exons.
CAAUGAUGUGGUGCUGCACUGCUGCUCUCUUACUGCUAGCUUGCUACUUCUAGCUAAAUUUUGCUAUUUCUGCUAGCUGAAUUUUGCAUAGGCAUGGCGAGCUGUUUGAUUUCGUGGCAGGCCUGCUUAUCCUCAAUGUGUUCUGACUCGGAGGUUGGAGCCAGUUCGCAACUUUGAAUGUUGAAGCUGACAACGGACUCAAGCACUCCACCAUAUUCUUAGUAUUGCAUACCGUCACCGCUAAGGACUUAGCCAAGCUGCUUUUAAAAGUCAUAUAACAACUAAGUGCUAGAUAUUGUCAUAGAUAGAUUUUGGUGGAUAGGAAUUUAAUAAGCUACAAAGUAGUGUAGGUCGAGAUGAACAAAGAAUGGUAUGCAAAAUGUGUAACAUUAUUUGAUACAUUUACAUUGACAGGUC